RNAcentral lists this ribosomal RNA (1346 nucleotides) under uncultured bacterium. Its description in RNAcentral is "bacterial SSU rRNA". It matches the Rfam family "Bacterial small subunit ribosomal RNA", at positions 28 to 1381 of the family's 1533-position model. The record is from RNAcentral.
GACGAACGCUGGCGGCGUGCUUAACACAUGCAAGUCGAACGGAAAGGCCCUGCUUUUGUGGGGUGCUCGAGUGGCGAACGGGUGAGUAACACGUGAGUAACCUGCCCUUGACUUUGGGAUAACUUCAGGAAACUGGGGCUAAUACCGGAUAGGAGCUCCUGCUGCAUGGUGGGGGUUGGAAAGUUUCGGCGGUUGGGGAUGGACUCGCGGCUUAUCAGCUUGUUGGUGGGGUAGUGGCUUACCAAGGCUUUGACGGGUAGCCGGCCUGAGAGGGUGACCGGCCACAUUGGGACUGAGAUACGGCCCAGACUCCUACGGGAGGCAGCAGUGGGGAAUAUUGCACAAUGGGCGGAAGCCUGAUGCAGCAACGCCGCGUGCGGGAUGACGGCCUUCGGGUUGUAAACCGCUUUCGCCUGUGACGAAGCGUGAGUGACGGUAAUGGGUAAAGAAGCACCGGCUAACUACGUGCCAGCAGCCGCGGUGAUACGUAGGGUGCGAGCGUUGUCCGGAUUUAUUGGGCGUAAAGGGCUCGUAGGUGGUUGAUCGCGUCGGAGGUGUAAUCUUGGGGCUUAACCCUGAGCGUGCUUUCGAUACGGGUUGACUUGAGGAAGGUAGGGGAGAAUGGAAUUCCUGGUGGAGCGGUGGAAUGCGCAGAUAUCAGGAGGAACACCAGUGGCGAAGGCGGUUCUCUGGGCCUUUCCUGACGCUGAGGAGCGAAAGCGUGGGGAGCGAACAGGCUUAGAUACCCUGGUAGUCCACGCUGUAAACGGUGGGUACUAGGUGUGGGGUCCAUUCCACGGGUUCCGUGCCGUAGCUAACGCUUUAAGUACCCCGCCUGGGGAGUACGGCCGCAAGGCUAAAACUCAAAGGAAUUGACGGGGCCCCGCACAAGCGGCGGAGCAUGCGGAUUAAUUCGAUGCAACGCGUAGAACCUUACCUGGGUUUGACAUGGAUCGGGAGCGCUCAGAGAUGGGUGUGCCUCUUUUGGGGUCGGUUCACAGGUGGUGCAUGGCUGUCGUCAGCUCGUGUCGUGAGACGUUGGGUUAAGUCCCGCAACGAGCGCAACCCUUGUUCACUGUUGCCAGCACGUUAUGGUGGGGACUCAGUGGAGACCGCCGGGGUCAACUCGGAGGAAGGUGGGGAUGACGUCAAGUCAUCAUGCCCCUUAUGUCCAGGGCUUCACGCAUGCUACAAUGGCUGGUACAGAGAGUGGCGAGCCUGUGAGGGUGAGCGAAUCUCGGAAAGCCGGUCUCAGUUCGGAUUGGGGUCUGCAACUCGACCUCAUGAAGUCGGAGUCGCUAGUAAUCGCAGAUCAGCAACGCUGCGGUGAAUACGUUCCCGGGGCU